RNAcentral lists this unclassified non-coding RNA (349 nucleotides) under soil metagenome. RNAcentral's name for it is "partial contains 5.8S ribosomal RNA, internal transcribed spacer 2, and large subunit ribosomal RNA". The stretch from base 1 to 120 matches the Rfam family "5.8S ribosomal RNA", at positions 35 to 154 of the family's 154-position model. The record is from RNAcentral.
GAUGAAGAACGUAGCGAAAUGCGAUAAGUAGUGUGAAUUGCAGAAUUCAGUGAAUCAUCGAAUCUUUGAACGCACAUUGCGCCCGCCAGUAUUCUGGCGGGCAUGCCUGUCCGAGCGUCAUUUCAACCCUCGCGCCCAUCUGGGCUGCGGUGUUGGGGACCGGCCUGCCCCCCCGGGGCGCGCCGCCCCCCAAAUUCAGUGGCGGUCUCGCUGCAGCCUCCCUUGCGUAGUAGCACACCUCGCACCGGAGCGCAGCGCGGCCACGCCGUAAAACCCCCGACCCCCAUGAGUUUGACCUCGGAUCAGGUAGGAAUACCCGCUGAACUUAAGCAUAUCAAUAAGCGGAGGA